RNAcentral lists this ribosomal RNA (472 nucleotides) under uncultured bacterium. RNAcentral describes it as "partial 16S ribosomal RNA". It matches the Rfam family "Bacterial small subunit ribosomal RNA", at positions 28 to 507 of the family's 1533-position model. The record is from RNAcentral.
GACGAACGCUGGCGGCGUGCUUAACACAUGCAAGUCGAACGCUGAAGCUUGGUGCUUGCACUGGGUGGGUGAGUGGCGCACGGGUGAGUAAUACGUGAGUAACCUGCCCUUGACUCUGGGAUAAGCCUGGGACACUGGGUCUAAUACUGGAUACGACAUGUCACCGCAUGGUGGUGUGUGGAAAGGGUUUUACUGGUUUUGGAUGGGCUCACGGCCUAUCAGCUUGUUGGUGGGGUAAUGGCUCACCAAGGCGACGACGGGUAGCCGGCCUGAGAGGGUGACCGGCCACACUGGGACUGAGACACGGCCCAGACUCCUACGGGAGGCAGCAGUGGGGAAUAUUGCACAAUGGGCGGAAGCCUGAUGCAGCGACGCCGCGUGAGGGAUGACGGCCUUCGGGUUGUAAACCUCUUUCAGCACGGAAGAAGCGAAAGUGACGGUACGUGCAGAAGAAGCGCCGGCUAACUACGUG